AAUGAAUAAGAAUAUUGUUCGAACUUUGUUUGAAUAGCUUCAAUGGGAAGCAACUCCGGGUACCUGUGAAGACACUUGGUAAAAGUGUUAGUACUAAAUAAAUAUGAAUAAAAAUAAAUAAAUAAAACAAUAAUUUAAAAUAAAAAUUUGUCUUAUUAACAUGAGAGACCAUGGAAAUCGAAAGAAACAAAGAACAAAAAGAAUAAUAUUUUAAAAAUAGACCACUAGUAAAUCGCUAACAUCCUUUAGACAAUUCAAAAUAAAUAAUAAAAUAAAGUAAACAUGCAAAC
Molecule: long non-coding RNA, 290 nt
Filed under: Solanum tuberosum (potato)
Lineage: Eukaryota; Viridiplantae; Streptophyta; Magnoliopsida; Solanales; Solanaceae
Description: long non-coding RNA (STUB_LNC000093)
Source: RNAcentral